GCCAGGCGCAGUGGCGCUCGCCUGUGAUCCCAGGGACUCGGGAGGCUGAGGCAGGAGGACCGCGAGUUCAAAGCCAGCCUCAGCAUUAGGGAGGUAGGUGCUGAGCAACUCGGUGAGACCCUCCUGUCUCUA
This 132-nucleotide small RNA is filed under the name Marmota monax (woodchuck). Lineage: Eukaryota; Metazoa; Chordata; Mammalia; Rodentia; Sciuridae. The record is from RNAcentral.